AUUGAACGCUGGCGGCAGGCCUAACACAUGCAAGUCGAGCGGAUGAAGGGAGCUUGCUCCUGGAUUCAGCGGCGGACGGGUGAGUAAUGCCUAGGAAUCUGCCUGGUAGUGGGGGAUAACGUCCGGAAACGGGCGCUAAUACCGCAUACGUCCUGAGGGAGAAGGUGGGGGAUCUUCGGACCUCACGCUAUCAGAUGAGCCUAGGUCGGAUUAGCUAGUUGGUGGGGUAAAGGCCUACCAAGGCGACGAUCCGUAACUGGUCUGAGAGGAUGAUCAGUCACACUGGAACUGAGACACGGUCCAGACUCCUACGGGAGGCAGCAGUGGGGAAUAUUGGACGAUGGGCGAAAGCCUGAUCCAGCCAUGCCGCGUGUGUGAAGAAGGUCUUCGGAUUGUAAAGCACCUUAAGUUGGGAGGAAGGGCAGUAAGUUAAUACCUUGCUGUUUUGACGUUACCAACAGAAUAAGCACCGGCUAACUUCGUG
Molecule: ribosomal RNA, 484 nt
Filed under: uncultured bacterium
Lineage: Bacteria
Description: partial 16S ribosomal RNA
Rfam family: Bacterial small subunit ribosomal RNA
Source: RNAcentral